RNAcentral lists this ribosomal RNA (253 nucleotides) under uncultured bacterium. RNAcentral describes it as "partial 16S ribosomal RNA". It matches the Rfam family "Bacterial small subunit ribosomal RNA", at positions 524 to 776 of the family's 1533-position model. The record is from RNAcentral.
UACGUAGGGUGCAAGCGUUGUCCGGAAUUAUUGGGCGUAAAGAGCUCGUAGGCGGUCUGUUGCGUCGGCUGUGAAAACCCGGGGCUCAACCCCGGGCCUGCAGCCGAUACGGGCAGACUAGAGUUCGGCAGGGGAGACUGGAAUUCCUGGUGUAGCGGUGAAAUGCGUAGAUAUCAGGAGGAACACCUGCGGUGUAGACGGCUUACUGGACCAGAACUGACGCUGAGGCACGAAAGCGUGGGGAGCAAACAGG